Molecule: non-coding RNA, 30 nt
Filed under: Mus musculus (house mouse)
Lineage: Eukaryota; Metazoa; Chordata; Mammalia; Rodentia; Muridae
Source: RNAcentral
UUGACUUCUGUUAAAUCCUGUACUGAUCAA